UGAGAUGUAGCUCAGAGGUAGAGUGCUUGCCUAGCAUGCAAGAAGCCCCAGGGUGGAUCCCAGCACUGCAA
This 71-nucleotide transfer RNA is filed under the name Ictidomys tridecemlineatus (thirteen-lined ground squirrel). Its description in RNAcentral is "Spermophilus tridecemlineatus (thirteen-lined ground squirrel) tRNA". It matches the Rfam family "tRNA". From Rfam's summary of the family: Transfer RNA (tRNA) molecules are approximately 80 nucleotides in length. Their secondary structure includes four short double-helical elements and three loops (D, anti-codon, and T loops). The record is from Rfam by way of RNAcentral. Lineage: Eukaryota; Metazoa; Chordata; Mammalia; Rodentia; Sciuridae.